Long non-coding RNA from Mytilus californianus (California mussel), 1965 nucleotides. RefSeq lists it as uncharacterized. Lineage: Eukaryota; Metazoa; Mollusca; Bivalvia; Mytilida; Mytilidae. The record is from RefSeq and is a predicted model, not a curated record. The transcript is spliced from 2 exons.
UGGUAUGACGUUGGCGUCGUCGUCGUCGUCGUCCGAAGACACAUUGGUUUUCGCACUCUAACUUUAGUUUAAGUGAAUGGAUCUCUAUGAAAUUUUACCAUAAGGUUCAAUACCACAAAAGGAAGGUUGGGAUUGAUUUUGGGGGUUAUGGUACCAACAGUUAAGGAAUAAGGGGCAAAAAAGGGGCCAAAAAUAAGCAUUUUUAGGCAGUUAAGCUGCCUUAUGCUACCGCCCUAGAUUUGUGUUCUUCCCACUGAAUGGUGAAAAAAGUGUUGUUGUUAUUAUCUAGCUGGCUAAUAUGUUAUUAAUAACUAAUUGGGCACUUUUUUCGUACUAUCAAUUCUGGAAUACAAAAAAUAUGACCAGAAAAACCUUAAAUGAUCGUCGAACAACCCAAAACUUUCGAAGUUGCACAUAGGAAGUAGUGCUCAAUAGAAAUCCUUAUGUAAUUUAUUUUUCCCUGUACUUUUGGCUAAGAUGUCAAAGAACAAUUGUAUGAAAUAUUUAAUCGCCGAAAAUCUCUAAAGACAAGUUGUUUACAUUUCCCAAAUGGCAAAUGUCGUAGGAAUAUUGUUUGUCGGCACUACGUAUUACAGUAGUCUAAGUUGGCGGCAAUUUUAACUUAGAAGACGAAAUUUACGUACCGUUUAAAUUUGGAGGAUUCUGAUGAUAGAAGGGUAAUUAUUGUUAAUCAUGAUAUUCUUUUUGUUUGAGAUGAGUGUUAAUAAAUUGUGUAUUCACAUUUGAAUUUCUUCCUUUCAUAUUAUUCCGUUUUCACAUAAAUGACCUUGUCAAGUAUUAAUGCACCAACAGGUGGUGUUUACACUUGUUUUUAUGAAUGAAAUAUUUAAACCGGAAAUCAAGAAAAUCAAGAAGGUCUCACUAAUAUGCGAAAAGAAGAUUGUAGAGACAAUAAGCGACAAGUAGAAAAAAGUUAGCGACAGGAAGAAUGAAUUUGCGACAAGAGGAUAAAUUUAGAGACAAGAAAGUUUAUAUACUAUUAAAAUAAUAAAUUUAAAGAAAAGUCAAUUAAUUACAGUUGAUAUUUUUCUGUUUUGUAAAGUUUUAAAUUCUGUUGCAUUUAGUAGCCCUACGUACUUCAUGACGCUUCUUGUCGCUUCUUGUCUCUAAUUAGUGUGACCUUGUAAAUAUGUCAAUUUUACAGAGAAUGACAGUAGAAUGUGAUAUGGAUAAUAGACCUAGAAAGAUCGUUUGAUCAUACUAGAUUCCAAUUCUUGGCUUUAAUAUCUUAGAAGUGACAAGACAUACAUGUACAAUAUAUGAGACUAUCUAGUAGCUGCAUUGACUAGUCAUCAUAAUAAUUCCAUGACCGCUAUGAAACAUUAGACCUUUUUGAUGUUUCGAAUAUAGUUAAACAUGUACAUGAUCUACAGAUAUGAUCAAAGUACAUGUAUAUAUGAAAAUUUUUACCAGGUCUUAUCAUAUGACGACUAGUCAGACAAAUUUUGGUUCAGAAUUCUGACAGGAAUUUUUACAAAAUUGCCACGGGUUACAACACAUGAAUAUAAUUUGUCAUGGAGUUUACUGUAACGGUCCAGCUAUUAAAGGCUGUCUAAUGAUACUAUCAGAACUAUGAAAUGUCUGUGCAACUGUUACUAUAAAAUGUAGGAGAUACAUGUACAUCGUAUCAUUGCACACUAUCAAUAUAUAUACAAGUAGUAACCCAGGUAUCAGUUAUAUAAAGAUAGUUUGAAUACAUAACGAUGAUACAAUGUGCAGAUACAUGAAAUAUGUUUUAUAAAGUAUGUAAGAAGUGAAAUAUAUAAACAUAUUAAAAAAAGACAGAAAAAAUAUUUGUAUGAAAUUUGAUGUAAAUGUAAUAGGUUGGACACUUAGAAGUACAAUAAUGUAAAAGAAAAUUAAACGCAUUUCUAGCCUAACAACAUAAUCUUUUUGUGUAAUAUGAUCCAUGCAUGAUAAACAAUAAAAUUACCACGCCUCAAA